Acanthosepion pharaonis is the source of this 112-nucleotide non-coding RNA. NCBI's taxonomy places the organism in Eukaryota, Metazoa, Mollusca, Cephalopoda, Sepiida, Sepiidae. The record is from the annotation of a GenBank genome assembly.
GACCAUAUCACGUGGGUGGAAACAUCGACUCUCGUAUGAUCACCGAAGUUAAGCAACGUCGAGCCUCGUCAGUACGUAGAUGGGUGACCGCUUGGGAAUACCAUGUGUUAUA